This 214-nucleotide ribosomal RNA is filed under the name uncultured bacterium. RNAcentral describes it as "partial 16S ribosomal RNA". It matches the Rfam family "Bacterial small subunit ribosomal RNA", at positions 524 to 737 of the family's 1533-position model. The record is from RNAcentral.
UACGAAGGGGGCUAGCGUUGCUCGGAAUCACUGGGCGUAAAGGGUGCGUAGGCGGGUUUCUAAGUCAGAGGUGAAAGCCUGGAGCUCAACUCCAGAACUGCCUUUGAUACUGGAAGUCUUGAGUAUGGCAGAGGUGAGUGGAACUGCGAGUGUAGAGGUGAAAUUCGUAGAUAUUCGCAAGAACACCAGUGGCGAAGGCGGCUCACUGGGCCAU